AUUGAACGCUGGCGGCAUGCUUUACACAUGCAAGUCGAACGGCAGCGCGGGCUUCGGCCUGGCGGCGAGUGGCGAACGGGUGAGUAAUGCAUCGGAACGUGCCCAGCAGUGGGGGAUAGCCCGGCGAAAGCCGGAUUAAUACCGCAUACGACCUGAGGGUGAAAGCGGGGGACCGAAAGGCCUCGCGCUAUUGGAGCGGCCGAUGUCGGAUUAGCUAGUUGGUGGGGUAAAGGCUUACCAAGGCGACGAUCCGUAGCUGGUCUGAGAGGACGACCGGCCACACUGGGACUGAGACACGGCCCAGACUCCUACGGGAGGCAGCAGUGGGGAAUUUUGGACAAUGGGGGCAACCCUGAUCCAGCCAUGCCGCGUGCGAGAAGAAGGCCUUCGGGUUGUAAACCGCUUUUGUUCGGGAAGAAAUCCUCUGGGCUAAUACCCCGGGGGGAUGACGGUACCGGAAGAAUAAGCACCGGCUAACUACGUG
This 484-nucleotide ribosomal RNA is filed under the name uncultured bacterium. RNAcentral's name for it is "partial 16S ribosomal RNA". It matches the Rfam family "Bacterial small subunit ribosomal RNA", at positions 28 to 507 of the family's 1533-position model. The record is from RNAcentral.